This 549-nucleotide ribosomal RNA is filed under the name Enterococcus sp. RNAcentral's name for it is "bacterial SSU rRNA". It matches the Rfam family "Bacterial small subunit ribosomal RNA", at positions 337 to 875 of the family's 1533-position model. Lineage: Bacteria; Bacillati; Bacillota; Bacilli; Lactobacillales; Enterococcaceae. The record is from RNAcentral.
UCCUUCGGGGAGGCAGCAGUAGGGAAUCUUCGGCAAUGGGCGAAAGUCUGACCGAGCACCGCCGCGUGAGUGAAGAAGGUUUUCGGGUCGUAAAACUCUGUUGUUAGAGAAGAACAAGUGGGAGAGUAACUGUUCCCUCCUUGACGGUAUCUAGCCAGAAAGCCACGGCUAACUACGUGCCAGCAGCCGCGGUAAUACGUAGGUGGCAAGCGUUGUCCGGAUUUAUUGGGCGUAAAGCGAGCGCAGGCGGUUUCUUAAGUCUGAUGUGAAAGCCCUCGGCUCAACCGAGGAAGGUCAUUGGAAACUGGGGAACUUGAAUGCAGAAGAGGAGAGUGGAAUUCCAUGUGUAGCGGUGAAAUGCGUAGAUAUAUGGAGGAACUCCAGUGGCGAAGGCGGCUCUCUGGUCUGUAAUUGACGCUGAGGCUCGAAAGCGUGGGGAGCAAACAGGAUUAGAUACCCUGGUAGUUCACGCCGUAAACGAUGAGUGCUAAGUGUUGGAGGGUUUCCGCCCUUCAGUGCCGCAGUUAACGCAUUAAGCACUCCCGCCUG